GCCCUCUGAUGAAGUACCUCAAAAGCUAAGCUCCCAUCAAUCCUGGAGAGAUAGAAUCAGCAGAGCAUAGUGGCAGAAUGAAUGGUUUAAAAGGAACAGCAGCGACCAAAGAACUUUUUAUGCAGAGAAACCCCAAAUCUGGGGCAAAGCCCUCCUGUUCAUUUUAUCUCACACAAGGACCAAGUGACCCCAGCUGCAGCCGGAGU
This 206-nucleotide long non-coding RNA is filed under the name Homo sapiens (human). RNAcentral's name for it is "non-protein coding LINC02240:16". The record is from RNAcentral. Lineage: Eukaryota; Metazoa; Chordata; Mammalia; Primates; Hominidae.